CUUGAUAAAACAGCUUCAAUGAUGUUAGAAACAGCCGUCUUUGAGUUUCUCUGUUAGGGCACAAGUCUCCCAACUUUCCAAUAGUCAAAAAGAUCCCUAAAAAGUGAAGAAAAAAACGCGUUUUUAAACAUUCAGCCACGCGCCCCAGGCGCAAAAUUCGCGCUUCAGGCGCAAGUAGACAGAUCCAAGAUGGCCGAAAUGUGUCCCAGGCACAGGUCUUUGCGCUUCAGGCGCACAACAUAUGAUGUCUGGCGUAUACAGCAGUUUGCUCCUCUUUCGAGUCUGAAUUGGGUUCCGAUGUCUUCAUGAACGUUAUAGCUAUGGAUCUUAGCUUUCAUAUGCACUUUGUUUGACUCCAAUUGGACAUCUAUAUCUUCAGACAUGACCGAAAUACUCCAUAUAGGUAAUGUUGAUUUUUCG
Molecule: long non-coding RNA, 420 nt
Filed under: Cicer arietinum (chickpea)
Lineage: Eukaryota; Viridiplantae; Streptophyta; Magnoliopsida; Fabales; Fabaceae
Description: long non-coding RNA (CARI_LNC002486)
Source: RNAcentral